Long non-coding RNA from Callithrix jacchus (white-tufted-ear marmoset), 4891 nucleotides. NCBI's taxonomy places the organism in Eukaryota, Metazoa, Chordata, Mammalia, Primates, Cebidae. The record is from Ensembl.
AGCCAAGCACAGACUCAUGUAGCAUAAGUGCUCAGUAAGUGCCCACGGACUUGGCUAAUGGAUGGACUUGGAGGGGACAUUGCCGGAUCAGAGCCGUGGACACUGCCAGAAUUUGUCAAAGGUCCUAGGAAGAAAAAGCCCUUGCACCCCUCUCCUCAGUGAGCACACAGUGUGUUUGGGCUGUUCACAUUCGCUCCUCAUAGAGUAUCAUUCUGUCGCCAGGCAGUGGUGCAAUCUCAGCUCCCUGCAACCUCUGCCUCACAGAUUCAAGUGCUUCUCCUGCCUCAGCCUCCCAAGUAGCUGGGACUACAGCUCUGGUUUCUCUGUUCAUCCAAGAAGAAGAAAGGGCUCCAAAAGGCUUUAGGGAUGGGGAGUGGGAAGGACCACCUGCAGCCUGCUCCCUCCCUGUGGACGUCUCACCAGCCUUGUGGACGGUUGUCUUCUGUGGGGCUUCUUCCGCCUAACUCUUCAGAAGGGAUUUGAAGGUCUUCUCCCAACUGCACUCCCCCUUCCCCUUUCAGAAAAUCCCGUUACUUAGAUUGCAUUAAUAAAAAACCGUAUCAUCUGGAAUAAAGGAGAAGAUGAACCUGUUCUAGUAUGUGGGGGACAACCCAGACUCCAGUAUUGUAUGCAGUUUCAUAUUCAGAGAGCCACAAAACAAGACUGAUUUUAAGGAGGGUGACCGGGGGGGCGGGGGUGAAGAAACUUGGAAGCAUGGCUCAUGACAAACAUAGAGAACUGGAAUAGUUCACCAGAAGACACAAGGUGGCAUGACAACUCUGCUCCAAAGCCUGAAGGACUGUCCCAAGGAAGAAGACAAAUGCCAAGUCAUGCCCCAACAUAAGAGCAAAGGUCAGUGGGCUAAAGUUAAAAUAACAGAUUUUUAAAAUCUUGGUAUUUCAGAAAAAGGAAUUGUAUGAGAAUUACUGCAUAUGAAGUGGAGACCACAGGAGAUUGAGAAGUGGUAAGUUCUCCACAGGAGAAAUGCAAGCAGUGCCUCAGCGGCCAUUUAGCAGGGGUGUUCUCAAAAAUGAGGUAAAGCACUAGACUCAUGCUCCUUAAGACACCACUCACACUUGGCAGCACGUGAUUCUCUGUGCAAGUCAAAUUAGUCUGACUUCCAUUCUAAGCCUUCAGUCCUUGUCAUCCUUUUUCCCAGAUUGUCUCUACCAAGCCCUCCAGAAGCCCUUUGAGACCUGGUCUGGGAGGAACGUGUCUUUUGGGGCUCUCAGAGAGCCUCUCUGAGCUCUGGCUCUGUUCCGUCCACCACAGUGUCUGCCCAAUUAUGAUAUCCUCGUUCUCCCCACCUGAGAGCCACUGAGCACACUGGGCCAUCUAUCCAUCUCACUGUAAGUGCAGAAAAGAGAAAAGGCCUAAUCUCUUCCUAUCUCCUCUCCAUAGUUUGCAUGAGUAUCUGCUGCUUAUUCCCUCUCAAACUUCAACUCUCGACAGUCUUGCCUCCAGAAACCACUGACAAGCCACUGACCUGCCUCAGCAGCACCCAAGUCUGUCAGCCCUAGAAGUUGAUUGUGCACCCCAGACUAAGAAGAACUUGUGUUUCCAGCCUGUCUAAGAUGGUUCACUUCAUAUCACUUGAGCGUAUCACUCCCUCAUAUGCUACAGCAUGUGGUACCUUUAAAUGGCAAACUUUUCUAAAAAGGCAGAAAGCAAAAUGGAAUCAAUCCAGGAGAACUAAUCCCGGAAAAUCAGAAUCUUCCACAUGGGGGUGAUGAUAAACAGAUGCCUCUCAUCUCGACAAAUGAAAGGUCACCGACAGCCAGUGCAGAGUAAUUAUUAAACAACUUCUCCCAUUUGUUCAGGAUCAGUAGCGACCUCAUUACCUGGAUCCAAAGACAAUAUCUCUAAAUCCUGGGCAUGGAUCCAGAAAGGUCAUUAAUAACAGAAGAGUCCCCAAAUUUGUGGGAAAAGGAAACCAGUUCUAAUUACAGAAGCCAACAGUUCCACCCCAGCCCUUUACAUCAACAUUUUGCAAGUUAUUAACAACAAUAGGGAUCCCUCAGGCACCACUUACAGCCACUUGACCAACAGCAGCCAGGUUAACCAAGCCUUUCUCUGCAAACUGGAUGGGCCUUUGUAUGUCACCGGCAGGGAAUCAAGCCGACUUGAGGGUGGUUUUCUUAUUGUCGCUUCUCACAGCUUCAGGCCAGAGGCCAAGGACUGGAGCAGAAGCUCAGAUUCCUGGCCCUGUGCCCAGAUAACUGGACUUUAAGAGGAGUGAGGAAGGUGAGGGAUGAAAGACUACACCUUGGGGGCAGUGUACACUUCCUGGGUGAUGGUGCACCAACAUCUCACAAAUCCCCACUAGAGAACUUAUCCAGAUAAUCAGACACCACCUGUUUCACAAAAACCUAUUGAAAUGAAGCAGAAGAGAAGUAGGAGGAAGAAGAGGGAGGUGAAGAUUUAGGUCACCUUGUGGCAAAGGGCUGCCUUUAGUCCCAGCCUUGGCUCUCCAGGUCCCUGGAAUGAGAACAAGCCUACCCUGGGGGUUGGAUUAGGAGGGCAGCUGCUCUUUUUACACCACCUUGUUAACAUGUCAGUCAACAGGCACCUUUUGCUUCCUCAAACUGGCUGCCCCUGACUUCUGAACCAGGAGCCCCCUAGUCCCUAAAGAGAGGUUAGAUUUUGCCACCUAUCAGAGGAAAGACAAAAACCACAGCAAUCUCCUCUCCCUGUCUCCCCCGUUCUCCACUGCUAAAGCAGUAUAGCAUGGUAGUAAAACAUUUAAAGAGUUCAGGCUCCGGAGCCAGAGCCAGUGUAAAGCCUGUCGCUUACCACUAGAGGGCUUAGGCAAAUUUCCAUCAGUUUAUCACCCACAAAAUGGGCAUAACAAUUUAUGGUCUAAACAGUGACUCUGAGAGUGAGAGGGAGGUGCCCUCAGUAAUUACUCUAAGGCAACAGACACAAAUCAGAAGGAACAAACCAUGAUGCAUAGUUACUCUCUUGAGAAGUGUCCUGUGAAGAUCAAAUAAAAGAAUAUAUGUACAUUGUGUAUCACAAUGCCUGGUGCGUGGCACAGAGAAAUUGUGCCGCAUCAGCCAGGCACGGUGGUUCAUGCCUGUAAUCACAGCACUUUGGGAGGCCACAGUGGGUGGAUCACCUGAGGUCAGGAGUUCAAGACCAGCCUGGCCAACAUGGUGAAACCCCGUCUCUACUAAAAAUAUAAAAAUUAGCUGAGUGUGGUAGUGGGCACCUGUAGUCCCAGCUACUUUGAAGGCUGAGGCAGGAGAAUCACUUGAACCCUGGAGGUGGAGGUUGCAGUGAGCUGAGAUUAUACCGCUGCACUCCAGGCUGGAUGACAGAGCCAGACUCCAUCUCAAAAAAAAAAAAAAGAAAAAAGAAAAUCGUGCCGCAUUGACAUUAUUAUCCUGUCUUUCCAAACCCCUGGACUGUCAAAAGUGAAAUACCAGCCUAGAUGGAUUAUCCAGGGUGGCUUCGAUUUCCCAGACCCCAUCUCACUUCCUUUAAGGCCCUUCGCCAUCCUCACUUCACACUGGGUAGUGCUGGCAGGAUGUGAGUCACGGGGCACAUGGGAUGGCUACCACCGUGUAGUGUUGUAAAAGCAGAACCGUUUUGGGUCGGUCAUGGGGUGUCCGUGGGAAACAGGCUGACGUUCCCCAUGGUGAGUUUGAAGGAUCAUCUCACAAUCUGUUUCAGGGUUAGUUCAGUGAGGGAUCUGAUGAAUCCGAUUAAACGCUAAACAUUCCAUUUCCACGUCACUCAGCUCCGUGCUUGAGGGGCACCAGGCUCUGUGCAGGGCGGCCCCAAAUGUGCCUGAUAAUUAAAACAAUCUCUGCCCUGGCUGAUUGCUCUCCCCAUUACUCUCUCCCAUUACUGGAGAAGCAAACAAUAAAUAAUUUAAUAACCCAGGUUGAGUAGACUCUGGUUCCAAAACAAAGUGUUUUAAUUCUCCAGUGUGCCUGCUUUCAGCAUUACUGUAAUUCCAUUUCCCUUCACUUGACUGGGCCUUUUGCUGCUUUUUAGGCUUCUCGUAUUUCUCCCCAAGUUUUCCCCAUGGGGUCCUGACAGCUGCAUUAUAGCAGGGCUGGGCAGCAAGCAUGACAUCACUCACUACUCAAGUCAGCAGCAGCAGCAGCACAGUGCCAUGUACUCAUUAACUGAGCAAUCUGCCCUGCGUCUCGAUGGCGAUGGAAAUCUGUCCAUGUGGCUGAUGGCAGGGCUGCUGCCCUGGGCACCUGGUCCCUGCCCUUUUCCCUCCAUCUUUCUCUUUCUCCUGUCUGCUUUUCCUGCAAUCUUCCCAGCCCUGGUUAUGGGGAAAGGCCUGGAAAGGGAGAAAGGCACUGGAGAGAGUGGUGGGAAAUGGCCCCUAUCCCUCGCCCUGCAUAGUUGGGUCUGCCUCCUCAUCGUACUCUCUUCCUGGCACUGAAGGCAAGAUCACCCUGACUCCCAGCUUUGGCUGAGGCCUAGGAGAACCCAAACCCCAUAGAGAGAUCAGAUUCUGCUACCUUUCAAAAGAGAGCCAGAACAGCAAAUUCUCGCUCUGGCCAAGAGAAAUCUCCCUGCAUGGCCCUUCCACUGCCUGCCCCCAUCUUCAGUCCUUCCACCUUUCUAAGCAGUAGCAGAAUAUGCUGAUGGGAGAGUCUGGUGCCCUUGCCUGAAGCUGAGGGGAGCCAGGGAGCAGCAGCUGCAGGGGAGGAGCAGGGGUAAAAGGAAACGCACCAAUGGAGCUUUCGUUUAAAUAAAGAGCAGGGAAGCAUUGUGCUCCAUUGAUUACAAUUUUUUUUUCUGAAUGUUGUGACAUUUGCAGGAAGGCUAAUUUAUUCAAGCAUGGAAAUCUUUAAAAACUUAAUUAAGUUAUUUCUGUGAUUUUCCAUGCCUUAUUGUUUCGAGUUCACAUUUACUUUCAUCCUUG